AGAUUACAGAACAUCACACCUUGGCGUGAUGAAAUCAUGCCAAGAUUCUGACUCUCCCUUUCCGGUGAUACUGCUCAUGAUUUCUCCUAAUACGCUUCAAGCAACUGUUACCACAAAAAAUACAGUUUCCGCAGGGCUUUAAAGGAUUGAGUUUAGCAUGUAUAUCAUGCGUUAUUAAAGUUCACGUGAUUCAUGUGAAAUUAACUGUCCUUUUUGCUAGUGCCAAAACAGUGCCUUCUCUGCACACUUUACUUGUUUAUAAAGUUCUCCCACAUGUCCUUAAAUAUCAAGGGGGAAAGUAUGGAUAUUCGCGUAGCAAUAAUGCCAGCAAAGGUCAUUUUCAUUUUUUAGUCAUAUAGAUAUGAAAAUAAGUUCAUAUAGAUAUGAAAUUGCUUGACUUUAUUGUUUUGGGGAGAUUUUUUUUCCUUACAUGAUUAUAUUAAACACUUUAAAAUAGCCUUCCGGUUUCUGGAUUUUGAGAAGCCUGAUCUGUUAUUGUUGUGGUUGUUGGUGUUUGUAAUAUUCAUUAUUGUUUGUAUAUACACGGUUUAGUCUUACUGAUUUCAAAUGCAUUUUGUUAUUGCUCAACCCAACUGGUAACACUGUUUGCUGGGAGCAUUAUACUUAACUUUGAUUCACCAUGGUUGAUGCCACUGCCAUGAUCGCUGGGUCUUAAAGAGCUUUCCCUAGCCACUGACAGCCCCGUGGAGAUCAUAAUCAGGGCCCCAGGCUGGUUCCAGGAUCAGGCAGCCUAUAGAGUGUGAGCAUCUAUGUGUAGCUACCCUUGUUGGGUGGGCUCUUAGACUGAUGGGGUAGGAUAUGAAGUGAAAGACUUCAAAUGCAAGUAAGGUAGUUUGGGCUCCUUAAUUCCAAACAUCCCAUGAGUAUAUCAAGAUGAAUAAGGACCAAGGGACCUCUGUGACUCAUAGAAGGGCUGGCUGAAUCCUGAAGUAGCAUAGUGGGACCUGGUCUACAAUUUAUGCACAUGCACUGACAGCCUUGCUGUGCCACGUGUCUCACCAAGACCCAGUUGGGAAAGAGCGUCAUAUUGCCAACAGGUUGGGUUUCUCUGGCCUACACCUGAUUAAUGGGCCCUUUAUCUUUGGUGUCCCCUAGGAGUGUCCAGUUGUUUUAUUGCUGUAUUUUGUUAUUGCAGUACUUAAUAAAAAUUGUUGAUAGGGCCCAAAACCCUACAGAAAUUCUAUGUCUGUAAAAACCAACAAAGGCAUUGGACUUGUGUGAAUGUACAGGGUUUUUUUAGUAGUAAUUUUAAAUUUAAAUGUUUUAAGUGAUCAUCAGUGUUCCUUUUUACUUAUAAAGUUGGAUUCUUUUUUAGAAUUUGUAAUAAAUAAAAACUGCUGCUUUACCACUGUAAAA
This 1377-nucleotide long non-coding RNA is filed under the name Homo sapiens (human). RNAcentral's name for it is "non-protein coding lnc-PDGFRL-3:1". Lineage: Eukaryota; Metazoa; Chordata; Mammalia; Primates; Hominidae. The record is from RNAcentral.